UAUAAAUCGUGGUCUGUGAAUGGGGUAGGAUCCGACGCCUCCUGAAGGCUACAUAGGCUCUCCUACCCAACUCCUAUUCUGGUAUGUCCUAGCCAUACAGACCGUGCACAUGUAGCCCCGUUUAUCUGAGGUAAAUCUUGGUUUAUCUUGGGUAAACGGGUCCAAUCCCAACCCCUUGGGAGGAUGGGGUUGCAUGGCCAAGGCAGAAGGG
RNAcentral lists this ribozyme (211 nucleotides) under Anopheles sinensis. Its description in RNAcentral is "drz-agam-2-2 ribozyme". It matches the Rfam family "drz-agam-2-2 ribozyme". Lineage: Eukaryota; Metazoa; Arthropoda; Insecta; Diptera; Culicidae. The record is from Rfam by way of RNAcentral.